AAUAGAUACCCGGGUAGUCCACGCCGUAAACGAUGAGUGCUAGGUGUUGGGGGCUUCCUGUCCUCAGUGCCGAAGGAAACCCAAUAAGCACUCCGCCUGGGGAGUACGGCCGCAAGGCUGAAACUCAAAGGAAUUGACGGGGGCCCGCACAAGCGGUGGAGCAUGUGGUUUAAUUCGAAGCAACGCGAAGAACCUUACCAAGGCUUGACAUCCCGCUGAUCCCUCUAGAGAUAGAGGUUCCCUUCGGGGCAGCGGUGACAGGUGGUGCAUGGUUGUCGUCAGCUCGUGUCGUGAGAUGUUGGGUUCAGUCCCGCAACGAGCGCAACCCUUAUCCUUAGUUGCCAGCAUUCAGUUGGGCUCUCUAAGGAGACAGCCGGUGAAAGCCAGAGGAAGGUGGGGAUGACGUCAAAUCAUCAUGCCCCUUACGUCUUGGGCUACACACGUGCUACAAUGGAUGGUACAAAGGGCAGCGAACCCGCGAGGGGAGCGAAUCCCAGAAAGCCAUUCUCAGUUCGGAUUGUAGG
Molecule: ribosomal RNA, 524 nt
Filed under: uncultured bacterium
Lineage: Bacteria
Description: bacterial SSU rRNA
Rfam family: Bacterial small subunit ribosomal RNA
Source: RNAcentral